Molecule: ribosomal RNA, 301 nt
Filed under: uncultured bacterium
Lineage: Bacteria
Description: partial 16S ribosomal RNA
Rfam family: Bacterial small subunit ribosomal RNA
Source: RNAcentral
CAGUCGCCGCGGUAAAACGAAGGGGGCUAGCGUUGUUCGGAUUUACUGGGCGUAAAGGGCGCGUAGGCGGACUGAUAAGUCAGGGGUGAAAUCCCAAGGCUCAACCUUGGAACUGCCUUUGAUACUGUUUGUCUUGAGUUCGAGAGAGGUAAGUGGAACUGCGAGUGUAGAGGUGUAAUUCGUAGAUAUUCGCAAGAACACCAGUGGCGAAGGCGGCUUACUAGCUCGAAACUGACGCUGAGGCGCGAAAGCGUGGGGAGCAAACAGGAUUAGAUACCCCCGUAGUCCCUGUCUCUUAUAC